UAGCUCAGCGGUAGAGCGGGCGGCUGUUAACCGCUAGGUCGUAGGUUCGAAUCC
This 54-nucleotide transfer RNA is filed under the name SAR202 cluster bacterium. Its description in RNAcentral is "tRNA-Asn". It matches the Rfam family "tRNA", at positions 8 to 60 of the family's 71-position model. From Rfam's summary of the family: Transfer RNA (tRNA) molecules are approximately 80 nucleotides in length. The record is from RNAcentral. Lineage: Bacteria; Bacillati; Chloroflexota; Dehalococcoidia.